UGCAUUCACUACUGUAAGUCACUCUGGAUAAGAGUGUCUGUUAAAUGCAAAUCA
This is a non-coding RNA of Salmo salar (Atlantic salmon), 54 nucleotides long. The record is from Rfam. NCBI's taxonomy places the organism in Eukaryota, Metazoa, Chordata, Actinopteri, Salmoniformes, Salmonidae.